Molecule: ribosomal RNA, 478 nt
Filed under: uncultured Pelotomaculum sp.
Lineage: Bacteria; Bacillati; Bacillota; Clostridia; Eubacteriales; Desulfotomaculaceae
Description: bacterial SSU rRNA
Rfam family: Bacterial small subunit ribosomal RNA
Source: RNAcentral
GGAAUUGACGGGGGCCCGCACAAGCGGUGGAGCAUGUGGUUUAAUUCGACGCAACGCGAAGAACCUUACCAGGGCUUGACAUCCCCUGACCGCGUAUGAAAGUACGUUUUCACCCUCGGGUGACAGGGAGACAGGUGGUGCAUGGUUGUCGUCAGCUCGCGUCGUGAGAUGUUGGGUUAAGUCCCGCAACGAGCGCAACCCCUACGUUUAGUUGCUAACGCGUGAAGGCGAGCACUCUAGACGAACUGCCGUUGACAAAACGGAGGAAGGUGGGGAUGACGCCAAAUCAUCAUGCCCCUUAUGUUCUGGGCUACACACGUGCUACAAUGGCCGGUACAGACGGACGCAAAGCCGCGACGGUGGAGCAAACCCAAAAAGCAGUCUCAGUUCGGAUUGAAGUCUGCAACUCGACUUCAUGAAGUCGGAAUCGCUAGUAAUCGCGGAUCAGAACGCCGCGAUGAAUACGUUCUCGGGGUUU